GACGAACGCUGGCGGCGUGCCUAAUACAUGCAAGUCGAGCGAAGUUUUUCUGGUGCUUGCACUAGAAAAACUUAGCGGCGAACGGGUGAGUAACACGUAAAGAACCUGCCUCAUAGACUGGGACAACUAUUGGAAACGAUAGCUAAUACCGGAUAACAGCAUUAACUGCAUGGUUGAUGUUUGAAAGUUGGUUUUGCUAACACUAUGAGAUGGCUUUGCGGUGCAUUAGCUAGUUGGUGGGGUAAAGGCCUACCAAGGCGACGAUGCAUAGCCGACCUGAGAGGGUGAUCGGCCACACUGGGACUGAGACACGGCCCAGACUCCUACGGGAGGCAGCAGUAGGGAAUCUUCCGCAAUGGGCGAAAGCCUGACGGAGCAACGCCGCGUGAGUGAAGAAGGAUUUCGGUUCGUAAAGCUCUGUUGUUAGGGAAGAAUGAUUGUGUAGUAACUAUACAUAGUAGAGACGGUACCUAACCAGAAAGCCACGGCUAACUACGUGCCAGCAGCCGCGGUAAUACGUAGGUGGCAAGCGUUGUCCGGAAUUAUUGGGCGUAAAGCGCGCGCAGGUGGUUUAAUAAGUCUGAUGUGAAAGCCCACGGCUCAACCGUGGAGGGUCAUUGGAAACUGUUAAACUUGAGUGCAGGAGAGAAAAGUGGAAUUCCUAGUGUAGCGGUGAAAUGCGUAGAGAUUAGGAGGAACACCAGUGGCGAAGGCGGCUUUUUGGCCUGUAACUGACACUGAGGCGCGAAAGCGUGGGGAGCAAACAGG
Molecule: ribosomal RNA, 768 nt
Filed under: uncultured bacterium
Lineage: Bacteria
Description: bacterial SSU rRNA
Rfam family: Bacterial small subunit ribosomal RNA
Source: RNAcentral